GUCAAAAAAAUUCCAGUCAUUUAUUGAGAGCUGCUUGGUAAAGAAUCACAGCCAGCGACCAGCAACAGAACAAUUGAUGAAGCAUCCAUUUAUACGAGACCAACCUAAUGAGCGACAGGUCCGCAUUCAACUCAAGGACCAUAUUGAUAGAACAAAGAAGAAGCGAGGAGAAAAAGAUGAGACAGAGUAUGAGUACAGUGGAAGUGAGGAAGAAGAGGAGGAGAAUGACUCAGGAGAGCCCAGCUCCAUCCUGAAUCUGCCAGGGGAGUCGACGCUGCGGAGGGACUUUCUGAGGCUGCAGCUGGCCAACAAGGAGCGUUCUGAGGCCCUACGGAGGCAGCAGCUGGAGCAGCAGCAGCGGGAGAAUGAGGAGCACAAGCGGCAGCUGCUGGCCGAGCGUCAGAAGCGCAUCGAGGAGCAGAAAGAGCAGAGGCGGCGGCUGGAGGAG
RNAcentral lists this non-coding RNA (448 nucleotides) under Homo sapiens (human). The record is from RNAcentral. Lineage: Eukaryota; Metazoa; Chordata; Mammalia; Primates; Hominidae.